UACGUAGGGUGCAAGCGUUGUCCGGAAUUAUUGGGCGUAAAGAGCUCGUAGGCGGUUUGUUGCGUCGGCUGUGAAAACCUGAGGCUCAACCCCAGGCCUGCAGUCGAUACGAGCAGACUAGAGUGUUGCAGGGGAGACUGGAAUUCCUGGUGUAGCGGUGAAAUGCGCAGAUAUCAGGAGGAACACCGGUGGCGAAGGCGGUCUCUGGCG
RNAcentral lists this ribosomal RNA (210 nucleotides) under uncultured bacterium. Its description in RNAcentral is "partial 16S ribosomal RNA". It matches the Rfam family "Bacterial small subunit ribosomal RNA", at positions 524 to 735 of the family's 1533-position model. The record is from RNAcentral.